AUGACUCUCGAUAACGGAUAUCUUGACUCUCGUAUGGAUAAAUAACGUAGUGAAAUGCGAUACUUGGUGUGAAUUGAAGAAUCCCAUGAACCAUCGAGUCUUUGAAUGUAAGUUGUGUCCCAUUCCAUUAGGCAAGUGAAUAUCUGCCUCGGUGUCACGCAUUGUUACCCCAAUCUAAACCCCAAACAUAAGGUAUCAGCCGAGGUAUGGGUAUAAAUUAUCCUCCGGUGCACAAACUUCUCAUGGUUGGUAAAAAAUUAAGUACACGGUGUCGCAGUGCCGCGAUGAUUGGUGGUAAUGUCUUAAGAAACCUCAUUCUGAGUCAUGCACACUCUUCUAUAUAGAUUCUCUAACUCUCAUGGCAUCACACUUGCGGUGUUCAUAUCGUGAUCCCAGGUUAGGCAAGAUUACCUGCCGAAUUAAAUCAUAUCAAUAAGAAGAGGAAAAAAAACUUACUAGGAUUCCAUUAGUAAUGGAAAACGAACCUGGAAUAGCCCAGCUUGAUAAUUGGUCACCCUCUGCGUUUAAAUUGUUGUCUGGAGAAGCUUCCUCAGUAACAGUCGAGGCCCAGGUCCCCUGGAAAAAGGUGCUAUAGAGGGUGAGAGCCCUGUCGUGCCCAGACCCUGUCACACCACCAGGCACUGUCUAUGAGUCUAGUUGUUUGUGAAUAUAACCCUAAUCAGACAGUAAAUACCAUCCAAGACUAAAUACGAGUUAGAGGCCGAUAGAGAACAAGUAUCGUGAGGGAAAAAUGAAAAGGACUUUGAAGAGAGAGUCCAAGAGUGCUUACAAUUAUUGGGAGGAAAGCAUAUGGGGGCUAGCAAUGCACCCCGAUCGAAUGUGGAACGAUGAUAGCAAGUCCGUUGACCGGCUCGAGGCGUGGACCGACGUAGACCAUAAUGGCGGCCCAAGCCUGGGCCUUCGAUACACCUAUGGAGAUAUCAUCACCUCGAUCAUGGAACCCAGCAUGUCCUAUCUCAGCGUUCUUUGGUAUCAGCGUGCUUAGGUGGGGCGAAGCCAGAUGAAAUUUUGGUGGAUACCCACAGUGAUACUGAUGUGCAAAUCAUUCGUUGGACUUGGGUAUAGGGGUGAAAGACUAAUCGAACCAUUUAGUAGCUGGUUCCCUCUGAAGUUUCCCUCAAGAUAACUGGAGCCCUUAGUGAGUUCUAUCAUGUAAAUCCAAUGAUUAGAGGCAUCAGGGGCACAACACCCUCAACCUAUUCUAAAACUUUAAAUUGGUUAGAUGGUGCGACUGCUUCAUUGAGCCAUGCCAUGAAAUCGAGAGCUCCAAGUGGGCCAUUUUUGGUAAGCAAAGCUGGGGACGUGGGAUGAAAUGGAAGCUGGGUUAUGGUGCAAAACUAUGCGUUAACCUAGAACCCACAAAGGGUGUUGGUCAAUUAAGACAACAUGAUGGUAUUCAUGUAAGUCAAAAUCUGCUAAGGAGUGUGUAACUACUCACUUGUCUAAUCAACUAGCAUAAAAAAUGUAUGGAGCGUAAGUGUGUGACCUAUACCCAACUUUCAGGGCAAAUCUAGGCCUUGAUGAGUAGGAGGACGUAACAACCAUCGUAAAACUUAGGAGUGAGCCUGGGCUGAGCGGCUGUCGGUGUAGAUCUUGGUGGUUGUAGCAAAUAUUCAAAUGAGAACUUUGAAGGCCGAAACGGGGAAAGGUUCUAUGUACACUACACUUGUACAUGGGCUAGUCGAUCCUAAGAGAAGGGUAAACCCGUCUGAUAGUGCGUUCCACUUGAGCUUCUAAAGGGAAUCGAAUUAAAAUGAUUGAACAUGAAUACGACGACUGACGAUAACGUUAGGGAGUCCAGAGACAUAAGUGGGGGCCUUUAGAAUAGUUAUCUGUUCUGUUUAACAUCCUACCCACCUAGAAAAUGACUCAUUUGGAGGUAGGAUCUAGCGACUAAAAGAGAACCGUACAUCGUGUGGUGUCCAGUGUACCCCAGGUGACCCUUGAAUAUCCAGAGAACCGAGUGUCGUCCAUGCCCAGUCGUACUUAUAACCGUAUCAGGUCUCCAAGGUGAAUAGCCUCUAGUCGAUGGAAAAAUGUAGGUAAGGCAAGUAAGCAAAAUGGAUUUGUAACCUCGGGAAAACUAUUGGCUCUAAGGGCAGGGCAUAGGGCUUCCAAUUCCGAACACAUUGGCUUCUAGUGCACUGGUAGAGCUACUCCCUUAAGGUAACCAAAUACCUCGUCAUCUAAUUAGUUACAUGCAUGAAUGGAUUAACAAGAUUCCUAGUAACCAUGUCUACUAUCCAGAGAAACCACAACCAAGGGAACGAGCUUGGCAUAAUCAGUGGGAAAAGAAGACCUUGUUGAGCUUGACUCUAGUCCGACUUUGUGAAAUGAGAGGUGUAGGAUAAGUGGGAGCUCUUGGGAAAAAUUGAAAUACCACUACUUUUAACGUUAUUUUACUUAUUUUGUAAAUCAAAAGUAGGGCACGACCCACUUUUUAGACCAAAGAGACAUAAAGACCACUUCACAUUGGAAGUAAAAAAAGAGAUCCCAAGAUUCAACUAUUUAAGGACAUCUGACGCCAUCCAAUGUGAAAAAGUACACUGGCAACUUAGGGAGUACGACUCAAGAAAAAUGAAUAAAUGAAUUCAGUCGGUUGAUUUGGGUAGAAGACAUUGUCAAGUGGGGAGUUUGGCUGGGGCGACACAUCUGUUAAAAGAUAACACAAGUGUCCUAAGAUGAGCUCAACGAGAAAAAAUCUCGUAUAGAACAAAAGGGUAAAAACUCAUUUGAUUAUAAUUUCCAGUACGAAUAUAAACCAUGAAAGCAUGGCCUAUCGAUCCUUUAGACCUUCGAAAUUUGAAGCUAGAGGUGUGAGUAAAGUUACCACAGGGACAACUGGCUUGUGGCAGCCAAGUGUCAAUAGCGAUGUUACUUUGUGAUCCUUCGAUCUUGGCUCUUAUUAUUAUUGGAAAGCAGAAUUCACCAAGUGUUGGAUUGUUCACCCACUAAUAGGGAAAAUGAGCUGUUUUUAGACCAUCGUGAGACAUGUUAGUUUUACCCUAUUAAUGGCCGCAUCGUAAUAGUAAUUCAACCUAGUAUGAGAGGAACCAUUGACUCGCACAAUUGGUCAUCACGCUUGGUUAAAAUGUGGCAUGAAGCUACUGUGUAUUGAAUUGGAUUAUGGCCGAACGCCUCUAUGUCAGAAUCUGGGCUACAAGCGAUGCAUGCGACUGUUAACCAAUUGUUGACCCGCAGUAGAGGCCUCGACCCCCAAGGGCACUUGUCGUGGGUGCAACACGCGCGUUGGACAAGUCGUGUGUGCCUCCCUAGAAUAUACUUUCUACCUAGCGACGGGGUUUUGUAAGUGGUAGAGUGGCUUUGCUACCACGAUCUACUGAGAUUCAACCUUUUGUUGCUUUGAUUUAUCCCUCCCCUAUCA
RNAcentral lists this ribosomal RNA (3406 nucleotides) under Hibiscus syriacus. Its description in RNAcentral is "eukaryotic LSU rRNA". The stretch from base 388 to 3393 matches the Rfam family "Eukaryotic large subunit ribosomal RNA". Lineage: Eukaryota; Viridiplantae; Streptophyta; Magnoliopsida; Malvales; Malvaceae. The record is from RNAcentral.